GAUGAACGCUGGCGGCGUGCCUAAUACAUGCAAGUCGAGCGAACGGACGAGAAGCUUGCUUUUCUGAUGUUAGCGGCGGACGGGUGAGUAACACGUGGAUAACCUACCUAUAAGACUGGGAUAACUUCGGGAAACCGGAGCUAAUACCGGAUAAUAUUUUGAACCGCAUGGUUCAAAAGUGAAAGACGGUCUUGCUGUCACUUAUAGAUGGAUCCGCGCUGCAUUAGCUAGUUGGUAAGGUAACGGCUUACCAAGGCAACGAUGCAUAGCCGACCUGAGAGGGGGAUCGGCCACACUGGAACUGAGACACGGUCCAGACUCCUACGGGAGGCAGCAGUAGGGAAUCUUCCGCAAUGGGCGAAAGCCUGACGGAGCAACGCCGCGUGAGUGAUGAAGGUCCGCGGAUCGUAAAACGCUGUUAUUAGGGAAGAACAUAUGUGUAAGUAACUGUGCACAUCUUGACGGUACCUAAGCAGAAAGCCACGGCUAACUACGG
RNAcentral lists this ribosomal RNA (496 nucleotides) under uncultured bacterium. Its description in RNAcentral is "partial 16S ribosomal RNA". It matches the Rfam family "Bacterial small subunit ribosomal RNA", at positions 28 to 506 of the family's 1533-position model. The record is from RNAcentral.